GACGUAGGGCGCGAGCGUUGUCCGGAUUUAUUGGGCGUAAAGAGCUCGUAGGCGGCUUGUCGCGUCGACUGUGAAAACCCGCGGCUCAACCGUGUGGCGGGCAGUUGAUACGGGCAGGCUAGAGUUCGGUAGGGGAGACUGGAAUUCCUGGUGUAGCGGUGAAAUGCGCAGAUAUCAGGAGGAACACCGAUGGCGAAGGCAGCUCUCUGGGCCUGUUCUGACGCUGAGGAGCGAAAGCUGGGGGAGCGAACAGG
RNAcentral lists this ribosomal RNA (254 nucleotides) under uncultured bacterium. Its description in RNAcentral is "partial 16S ribosomal RNA". It matches the Rfam family "Bacterial small subunit ribosomal RNA", at positions 524 to 776 of the family's 1533-position model. The record is from RNAcentral.